GAGCCUGAUCCAGCCAUGCCGCGUGCAGGAAGACUGCCCUAUGGGUUGUAAACUGCUUUUAUACGGGAAGAAACCCAUCUACGUGUAGGUGGCUGACGGUACCGUAAGAAUAAGCAUCGGCUAACUCCGUGCCAGCAGCCGCGGUAAUACGGAGGAUGCAAGCGUUAUCCGGAAUCAUUGGGUUUAAAGGGUCCGUAGGUGGAUUGGUAAGUCAGAGGUGAAAGCCUGCAGCUCAACUGUAGAACUGCCUUUGAUACUGCUAGUCUUGAAUUAUUGUGAAGUGGUUAGAAUAUGUAGUGUAGCGGUGAAAUGCAUAGAUAUUACAUAGAAUACCAAUUGCGAAGGCAGAUCACUAACAAUAUAUUGACACUGAUGGACGAAAGCGUGGGGAGCGAACGGGAUUAGAUACCCCGGUAGUCCACGCCGUAAACGAUGGUCACUAGCUGUUCGGAUUUCGGUCUGAGUGGCUAAGCGAAAGUGAUAAGUGACCCACCUGGGGAGUACGUUCGCAAGAAUGAAACUCAAAUG
This 528-nucleotide ribosomal RNA is filed under the name Winogradskyella sp. Its description in RNAcentral is "bacterial SSU rRNA". It matches the Rfam family "Bacterial small subunit ribosomal RNA", at positions 379 to 907 of the family's 1533-position model. The record is from RNAcentral. Lineage: Bacteria; Pseudomonadati; Bacteroidota; Flavobacteriia; Flavobacteriales; Flavobacteriaceae.